This 1908-nucleotide long non-coding RNA is filed under the name Homo sapiens (human). RNAcentral's name for it is "HSALNT0288125". Lineage: Eukaryota; Metazoa; Chordata; Mammalia; Primates; Hominidae. The record is from RNAcentral.
UACAAGGCUUCCCUCAGGUGGACAGGCCCACCCCUCAGGGAGACUAGGAUAAGAGGACACCACACACCCGGACAUCAGCGGAGCAUGUCCAGCACCCAGCACACAAAGGCCUCCUGCAUCUCAGAAACCCAGAGAAGCAGCCGCCUCACACCACCCCCCGCCCCUCCCGUCCCUCAGCUGCAACCACCUGCCCACUUUUUCUGCCUCCGGUCUCUGGUCAGCCCAGGCCGUCUUGGCCGGGGUCCACCCACUCCAAAAACCACCACAGUUGUGGCGUUGCCUCCUCCCCAGACAGAGAUAGAGGGCCAACAAUGAAGGGUGACUGGCCAAAUGUCUGGGAGAUGGCCCUGUUCCACAUUGUCUGUGUUCUUGCGAAAUUGCAAGGCGUCACGAGGCUUGCCCACCCAAUCCUCUGGAGAGUUCUUGCGCAGAGGUAGAUUGUUUGGCACACGAGAUGUCGGCGUGGGUCAGAAAGCAUGCGGAAGUCCUGCUUUGCUACGUGAUGGAUUUGCAGGUCAGGCUGGGGAGCCUGGGUCUGUGGGAGGAGUCCAGUGUCUGAGUCAGUUUGAGGUCCCCCUGGGACCAGGGUCGUCUCAGUGGCAGAGCUGGGAAAGGGAAACUCAUGGCUCACUACAGCAAGUAGGCCACCUCAGCCCAGCUAGUUGAGAUGGUCCCAUUGAAUCCAUCCUCUUUCUCCUUGAUCCGGCAGGUGGAGGAACACAGCCAUCCCGGUUACCGGUGGCAGGAUGAUUUCCUUUCAUCCCAACCUUUAUUUCCACAGUGAAAUCAUCAUGAAGGAGCACUGUGUUGGCAUCCUCGAGCUCCAGCUGUUCUGUAGAGAAACUGGCGUGAAUUGAAGAAAAAAAAACUGGACGAUUGAAGGUUACUUACGGGCCACUCUUCAUUUACUAAGACUAUGUAAUUCUCAGAGAGGACACACAACCUGUGAAGAGUUGGAUGUAAAUGAUGAAGAGUCAUUGAGAAAAGGCUGCCUGAAGAAUCAUCCUCUACAUUUCUAGCUUGAAAUACAGGGUAUUUGGUGCUGUGAAUUUCUGAAAUAGUGGAAUACUGUAGGAGGAAACAUGUUUUGGGGAUGAAAGGAAGGUCUGGUUUUGGUAUGUGGAGAUGUAAGGCAUGAAGUUGGAUAUGCCAAGUCUGAAGGUAGAACAAAGAUCUGGCCUGAAGUUGAGAAUUUCUUAAUGGUCAGCAUAGAAAGGGUGUUUUAGCCUUGAGAAAACCCAAGAGGAUCCAUGACUGAGAUCUGAACAACUUCAACACCUGUAGAUUUAGUAAAGAUGCCAACAAACUACACACCAAGUUCAUAUUAAAUGUAUUAGGAAAAGACAAACAACUUAGUGAGAGGCAUUCAGGCAACUAGCAUUUAGCUAGCUAUUAGGUAGCAAAUUUCGGAAAAAAUAAAAUGUAUAAAGAAUCUUUGAUCAGGUUUCCAAAUAUACAAAAUAAAAACCACUUACAUGUUAGAAGACAAUAUACAAAAUGAUAUUAUGUUAAUGGUACUAUUUAAUGCUAAUAGACAAAAAUGAAAAUUAUUCUGAAUUAAAUCAAUAGACAAUAUAUUUUCUAUCACUGUCUUUUCUUCUCAAUUUGUGUGUUGUUUUAAUUCACUAAGCAAUGACUCCUCUUAAUUCCACUACUUUUUAUUUAACACUGCAUUUUUUUUCAUAUGUGCAAUAUUACGCUGCCCAAUAGAGAGGAAAUGCAGAAUUUGGUCUAUUAUAUCAGAAACACCUUAGUUUUUCAGCUUUGGGCUUGUGCAGUGUGGUUAAUUUAAAGGUUCUCAUCAGGCUUUGAUUUUUGUAGUUUCUGUAAUCACUUCUCCAAAAUAAACAAUGUCUGAAACUAAUGACUACAAUAAAAUUAAAAUUAUGCUGGCUUUUAAGAUAAUUA